AAGCUUUUGCCACAUUCUCCAUCUUCAUCAACACCAAGAAAUCCAGUCAAAAUAUGAAAAGAAAUAUAUCAAAUAUCAAAUGGAAACUACUUCUGCAGACUUGAUUAAACCAGAAAUAGAUGUAGUGUAAAAAGAGACUAACUUUUUUAAGUUAAACAAUUUUCAAAUAACGAAGAUCAAUUUAAACAUAAAUAAAAAAUAAAAAACAAAAAAUAAAAAAUAAAAAACCAAAAGCACAGAUUAUGUAUAGGCCAAAAAGGACAUAAACGAAUCCCUCCCCAAGAACAGCACCAAACACGUAAGCCGAUGCAAAUGAAUCAACUGAGAGGGAGAUGAAAGAGGAAAACGAAACUAAAUCUAAUAACUUGAAACUAUAAUUCAAUUUCAAAUGAUUUGAACAAACAAGAAAC
RNAcentral lists this unclassified non-coding RNA (410 nucleotides) under Hevea brasiliensis (rubber tree). The record is from RNAcentral. Lineage: Eukaryota; Viridiplantae; Streptophyta; Magnoliopsida; Malpighiales; Euphorbiaceae.